GCAGAGAGAAAGAGAACCACAGCAGCUGGAGGAGGAACAAAUGAUGAAGUUUUGUUCCCCAAUAAAACCAAGUCGACUGGACCAUCAGGAGAGAAAACAGCCUAAAAGUCUUCGAGAGUAGAAUCAAAUUCUGUCGGCAAGUUAGAAAAGUCCUGGAAAAAUAAGUUUAAAUAAUCUUCCACCAUAUUAAGUUUUAGUUUAUGUUCUAUCAAAACACCUGGUUUGGUUCAGGCAUGAAGCAUAUUACAGAUCAGACCAUUAACACAUGUGCAAACGGCUGUUUAAUGCAGAUAUUACACCAUUGUUUUGGCGCCCCCUGUGGCGCGUCAACCCUAUGCGUCGCAUAGCCAUUUUUUGCACCACUGUUUGCUAAUGAAACAGGAAACUCCUCCUCUCUCCGCCCGCUGGAAGCAGCUCUGAUUCUUCCUGAAGCUCACGAUGGCGGCAGCGGCCGUUAAUUAACCUCCGCCUCCCUCCGCCAUGUCAGACGUGUUUAUUUUGCACAACAGGAACAAUUAAGCCGCUGACAAGGCGGCCUCAUUUAAAGUCGUCCCCGGCAGACACCUUGCGGCCCCCCGCUGUAACCUUCAGUGGUGCCUUGAAAUGCGUUUGGCUGUAUGGAAGACAUAUUAUCAUAAGCAGAUGCCCACGCUGCCGCCCACCGCAGCUCAGCUCCGAGAAACGAGGUCGGCUCCUGAAUAUCAAAGACGCGGAGGUUCAUUUAGUUGGGGUUCUGUUUGGGCCGCUGAGGCCCGGCGAGGCCCGCUGAUCUGAAGCUCAUUUGUUAAGCUGUCUGUCCUCAUCCGUCAGCAUCACAACAGCCAAUUUCUCCUUCCCUGCUCAUCUUCCCGUCUCCUAAUGGCCGGGGAUGUUCAGAGCUUUCUUCACUUCUGAGGUAUGCAGAUAAGAAGUUCACGCUCCUCCCUGUGCUGGCCUGUCUUCUCUUUAUUUUAAUCGUUCAUUAAAUCAAUGGAAAUUGCUUUUUUUUUUUACAUCUGUGAGCGUUGUUAGCGCUCGUAUCUCACGAGAAGCAGAUUUGUCUGAUCAUAAACAUCAUAUCUGACAACCUUCAGCCUCCACCUGUUUGUGAGAGAUGUCGUGUUUAUUAGAGACUGAAUUGGCUUGCAAUCUCGUCUACUUAACAUCAGCGACCCGCGCGGUGUGUGCGGCGUUCCUCUCAGAUCGUCUGACGACAACGGAAAUCGAUGACUCUUGUUGCAAAACAUUGUUAUUUGCGUCGACUGAAAAACGAUGAUUUGUGUGAAGCCUCUGAGGCCGGAGCUUUUUGAAAGUUGGGAAUCAUUUUCUGUGAUAUCGUGGAGCACCACUGACAUGGAGAAACAAAGAUUAACAAGGACUAAAGAUUGUUCAAGAUGGAUGUGCUCCCUGUGCGUUCCCUCUAUCACAAAACUUCUCUUACAUUUCUAAGAUAUUUCCACCUUUUUUUCAUACUUUACCUAAUCAUUGUGGAACUUUUAAUGAACGCUAUUAUGAACCAACACCAUCACCUAAAAGUUUCAGCAUCCCUCUAAGCCAAAAUAAACCAUCUGGAGCAUCAA
Molecule: long non-coding RNA, 1559 nt
Organism: Poecilia latipinna (sailfin molly)
Lineage: Eukaryota; Metazoa; Chordata; Actinopteri; Cyprinodontiformes; Poeciliidae
Exons: 4
Source: RefSeq, a predicted model, not a curated record